Molecule: ribosomal RNA, 528 nt
Filed under: uncultured bacterium
Lineage: Bacteria
Description: partial 16S ribosomal RNA
Rfam family: Bacterial small subunit ribosomal RNA
Source: RNAcentral
UGGGGAAUAUUGCACAAUGGGCGAAAGCCUGAUGCAGCAACGCCGCGUGAGGGACGACGGCCUUCGGGUUGUAAACCUCUUUUAGCAAGGAAGAAGCGAAAGUGACGGUACUUGCAGAAAAAGCGCCGGCUAACUACGUGCCAGCAGCCGCGGUAAUACGUAGGGCGCAAGCGUUAUCCGGAAUUAUUGGGCGUAAAGAGCUCGUAGGCGGUUUGUCGCGUCUGCUGUGAAAACCCGAGGCUCAACCUCGGGCCUGCAGUGGGUACGGGCAGACUAGAGUGCGGUAGGGGAGAUUGAAACUCCUGGUGUAGCGGUGGAAUGCGCAGAUAUCAGGAAGAACACCGAUGGCGAAGGCAGAUCUCUGGGCCGUAACUGACGCUGAGGAGCGAAAGGGUGGGGAGCAAACAGGCUUAGAUGACCCUAGGUAGUCCACCCGUAAACGUUGGGAACUAGUUGUGGGUCCAUUCCACGGAUUCCGUGACGCAGCUAACGCAUUAAGUUCCCCGCCUGGGGAGUACGCCGCAAGGC